Molecule: small nucleolar RNA, 288 nt
Filed under: Zosterops lateralis melanops
Lineage: Eukaryota; Metazoa; Chordata; Aves; Passeriformes; Zosteropidae
Description: Small Cajal body-specific RNA 7 (ENSZLMG00000011665.1)
Rfam family: Small Cajal body-specific RNA 7
Source: Rfam by way of RNAcentral
UGGAAGUGAUGACAAGGAGAUAAUUGGGUGUGUUUGGAUGGAGUGUGAGUGGGAAAGGGAAUUAAUCAAACUGGGGUGGGGGUUUUGUGUGUGUGGGGUGUGAGGGGGCUCUCCUGGGGGCACUGAUGGCAGUGCUGAGCCAGGAGUGCAUCUGAGGCGUGUUGGGCACCUCAGGGGCCCCUCUCCAACACUGCCAGUGAUUAAAGCCCCAAAAAAAUCCCACCAGGAGAGCCCCAGGAUGCCCAAAACAUCUCCCAGGGUCACCUGUGGUCCUGUGAUCUGAUCUCA